GGGUUGCCUCCCAAGGCGACGACAGGUAGCCGGCCUGAGAGGGCGACCGGCCACACUGGGACUGAGACACGGCCCAGACUCCUACGGGAGGCAGCAGUGGGGAAUAUUGCACAAUGGGCGAAAGCCUGAUGCAGCGACGCCGCGUGAGGGAUGACGGCCUUCGGGUUGUAAACCUCUUUCAGCAGGGAAGAAGCGCAAGUGACGGUACCUGCAGAAGAAGCGCCGGCUAACUACGUGCCAGCAGCCGCGGUAAUACGUAGGGCGCAAGCGUUGUCCGGAAUUAUUGGGCGUAAAGAGCUCGUAGGCGGCUUGUCACGUCGGGUGUGAAAGCCCGGGGCUUAACCCCGGGUCUGCAUUCGAUACGGGCUAGCUAGAGUGUGGUAGGGGAGAUCGGAAUUCCUGGUGUAGCGGUGAAAUGCGCAGAUAUCAGGAGGAACACCGGUGGCGAAGGCGGAUCUCUGGGCCAUUACUGACGCUGAGGAGCGAAAGCGUGGGGAGCGAACAGGAUUAGAUACCCUGGUAGUCCACGCCGUAAACGGUGGGAACUAGGUGUUGGCGACAUUCCACGUCGUCGGUGCCGCAGCUAACGCAUUAAGUUCCCCGCCAGGGGGGAUACGGGA
RNAcentral lists this ribosomal RNA (620 nucleotides) under Streptomyces sp. Its description in RNAcentral is "bacterial SSU rRNA". It matches the Rfam family "Bacterial small subunit ribosomal RNA", at positions 255 to 873 of the family's 1533-position model. Lineage: Bacteria; Bacillati; Actinomycetota; Actinomycetes; Kitasatosporales; Streptomycetaceae. The record is from RNAcentral.